Molecule: non-coding RNA, 21 nt
Filed under: Caenorhabditis elegans
Lineage: Eukaryota; Metazoa; Nematoda; Chromadorea; Rhabditida; Rhabditidae
Source: RNAcentral
UUCAGUAGACUUCUUGCCACA